AACGUAGGUGGCGAGCGUUAUCCGGAUUUACUGGGCGUAAAGCGUGCGCAGGCGGUUCGUUGUGUCGGUGGUGAAAUCCCCGGGCUUAACCUGGGAAUGGCCAUGGAAACUGGCGAACUGGAGUGCGGCAGAGGGGGGUGGAAUUCCGCGUGUAGCAGUGAAAUGCGUAGAGAUGCGGAGGAACACCGAUGGCGAAGGCAGCCCCCUGGGCUAGCACUGACGCUCAGGCACGAAAGCGUGGGGAGCAAACAGG
This 253-nucleotide ribosomal RNA is filed under the name uncultured bacterium. RNAcentral describes it as "partial 16S ribosomal RNA". It matches the Rfam family "Bacterial small subunit ribosomal RNA", at positions 524 to 776 of the family's 1533-position model. The record is from RNAcentral.